CUUGGACUGAAGGGAGCUCCCU
This 22-nucleotide microRNA is filed under the name Ananas comosus (pineapple). RNAcentral's name for it is "ath-miR319a". Lineage: Eukaryota; Viridiplantae; Streptophyta; Magnoliopsida; Poales; Bromeliaceae. The record is from RNAcentral.